UUCCCUCAAAUUUAGAUGAUGCAUACUGUAAAGCAGCACAUUUAUUAUUUAAGCGCUAUUAGCCCUAGCAUUUGAUCCACACAAUGGAAUACAGCAGGAGUGCACCCUUCUACCAGCUCAGAAAUGCCUGCUUACCAAUCUGCGUUAAAGUCCAGCCCAGCAAAACACUGCACAUUGCCAGCAAAACUUACUUCUACAUUCUUUUAUGUUCUGUUUGCUACAAGCAACCAUGAAGCUUGGUUUCAAGGAUUAAUUAGGGGAGAGGAAAUUGAGCAAUUUUACUAUGGAGAAAAAUUUUUCUGUAUAUCAAUUGCACCUACCCCUUUUCUGAUCUAACUUUUUGUUGAAAGGCACAAUGGGAGACAAAUGACGACAGUGUCUUAUCAUGGAGUCAUGGGAGAAUAUAAGAAGGAAAUGCAGACUCCAGAAACCACAGUUAAUGAGAUUACUCAGCUCUUCUGGGAAGACAAUGUAUUCUAAUGAUGGCCCAUUCCGCAUGUUGUCUUUUUUAGUGACACUCCUCUCUAUCCACAGGAUGUGUGCCUUGAGCAACCAGCAACCAUGCUGUGAAGAGGCACAAACCAGCCUAGACAGAUAGAUGAGAUGGAUAGGCUUACAUGGAGUGGAACUGAGGUCCCCAGCCAGCAGCCAGCAGCCAGCAUCCACCACCAGCCCAGUGAGUAAAUGAAGCUUCAAAUGAUUCUACCACUCAGCCUUUGAUCUGCUUCAACUGUUGCAAUGCAGAACAGAGAUAAACUAUCCCACUAAAUCCUGACCAAAUUACAGAUUCAUGAACAAAACA
Sapajus apella (tufted capuchin) is the source of this 802-nucleotide long non-coding RNA. RefSeq lists it as uncharacterized. Lineage: Eukaryota; Metazoa; Chordata; Mammalia; Primates; Cebidae. The transcript has 3 exons. The record is from RefSeq and is a predicted model, not a curated record.